Molecule: small RNA, 104 nt
Filed under: Arabidopsis thaliana (thale cress)
Lineage: Eukaryota; Viridiplantae; Streptophyta; Magnoliopsida; Brassicales; Brassicaceae
Description: ATSL201180
Source: RNAcentral
UUGAAUAGAUUAAGAGAAAUCCGGAUUACAAAAAAAAGUCAGGAACACAGUGUCUACGGAAUAAAACUUUGAUAAACGAAAAUGUAAAGUACAUGCUACUUAUA